CAGUCGCCGCGGUAAUACGUAGGAGGCUAGCGUUGUUCGGAUUUACUGGGCGUAAAGGGUGCGUAGGCGGAUUGUUAAGUCUGAUGUGAAAGCCCCCGGCUCAACCGGGGAGGGUCAUUGGAAACUGGGAAACUUGAGUGCAGAAGAGGAGAGUGGAAUUCCACGUGUAGCGGUGAAAUGCGUAGAGAUGUGGAGGAACACCAGUGGCGAAGGCGACUCUCUGGUCUGUAACUGACGCUGAGGAGCGAAAGCGUGGGGAGCGAACAGGAUUAGAUACCCGGGUAGUCCCUGUCUCUUAUAC
RNAcentral lists this ribosomal RNA (301 nucleotides) under uncultured bacterium. RNAcentral's name for it is "partial 16S ribosomal RNA". It matches the Rfam family "Bacterial small subunit ribosomal RNA", at positions 509 to 807 of the family's 1533-position model. The record is from RNAcentral.